RNAcentral lists this ribosomal RNA (406 nucleotides) under uncultured bacterium. RNAcentral describes it as "partial 16S ribosomal RNA". It matches the Rfam family "Bacterial small subunit ribosomal RNA", at positions 30 to 526 of the family's 1533-position model. The record is from RNAcentral.
AUUGAACGCUGGCGGCAGGCCUAACACAUGCAAGUCGAACGAGUGGCGGACGGGUGAGUAAUGUAUGGGGAUCUGCCCGAUAGAGGGGGAUAACUACUGGAAACGGUAGCUAAUACCGCAUACUAUCGGAUGAACCCAUAUGGGAUUAGCUAGUUGGUGGGGUAAAGGCUCACCAAGGCGACGAUCCGUAGCUGGUUUGAGAGGAUGACCAGCCACACUGGGACUGAGACACGGCCCAGACUCCUACGGGAGGCAGCAGUGGGGAAUUUUGGACAAUGGGCGAAAGCCUGAUGCAGCCAUGCCGCGUGUAUGAUGAAGGCCUUCGGGUUGUAAAGUACUUUUGGUAGAGAAGCGGUAUCGGCAGAAGAAGCACCGGCUAACUCCGUGCCAGCAGCCGCGGUAAUUC